GAAGUAACUUCUGCCCAGCGACUGGGUAGAGGGGAUGUGACGCUAUAGCGGAAGUGAAGGCGGGUUCCGCUAAGAGCAAAAGCUGAAACCGGAGGACUGCGGCCCUGCGCUUCCGGAAGGGACAUCUGGGGAAGGUGGGGGGGUGGAAAUGCGACAGGUUCAUGAAUUAUCCAUCAAGCAAGAUUGUCAGCUCCUCGUGGAAGGAAAUACGUUGCUUUGCUGAGCAUAUAGUAAAUGCUGGAUAUGUUGUUUGAACAAGUGAAUGCUGUUACAAGCGUGCACCCCGACCUGGCCAGAAUCCCCCUGGGCUCAGCUCUAAGCAGAACCGAGGUCGCUCCUACUAACGGUAAGAGCCUCUUGCUGAGAAAAAUAAUCUUUUUUUUUUUUUUUUUUUUUAAGACAGAGUGUCACCCUGUUGCCCAGGCUGGAGUGCAUUGGGGCCAUCUCGGCUCACUGCAACCUCUGCCUCCUGGGUUCAAGCGAUUCUCCUGCCUCAGCCUCCUGAGCAGCUGGGAUGACAGUCGCCCGCCACCACACCCGGCUAAUUUUUUGUAUCUUUAGUGGAGUCUGGGUUUCACCAUGUUGGCCAGGCUGGUCUCGAACUCCUGACCUCAACUGAUCCACCUGUCUCGGCCUCCCAAAGUGCUGGGAUUACAGGCGUGAGCCACCACGCCCAGCAAAAAAUAACUUUAACAGAAAUAAUUAUAAUGCCCAUUUUACAGAUAAUGAAAAUAAGCCUCUAAAGGCUUAAGUGAUUUUUUUUCCCCAAGGUCAAAGCAAGAAGGUAACAAAGUACACCUUUAAAUAUUUAAAUAGAUGAUGCAUUUCAUUGUAAUUGUAGUUUGUAUCUUUUUUACAGUGUCUGUUCCCUUUAUCACAUUUUUGGGCUCAGCACUCAGUGUCUGUUGACUGAGGAGCAACAGUUGGCAGAGUAAGGAUUUUAAGGGCUCAGAUAUGGCCAGACCUAUUGCUGUGUGGGUUAGAGAUUGCUGAUUCAAGAAACCUUGACAUCAGGGGCUGGUAUUGAAAGGUGGGAACAGGAAAUAGUAAUAAUAGCUAUACUGGUUCUCCUCCUGCUCUUUUCCUAUUUACGUUCACUGGGCACUUCCUGGGUCUCAGUGUCUCUGUCAGCCCUAUUCCUGCCCUUGCUAUAAGAAGGAAGUUUCUCAGCUACUUGGGAGGUUGAGGCAGGAGAAUCUCUUGAACCUGGGAGGUGGAGGUUGUGGUGAGCCAAGAUUGCGCCAUUGCACUCCAGCCCGGGCAACAAGAACUAAACUCCAUCUCAAAAAAAAAAAAAAGACGUAAGUUUCAAGUGCUUUGAACUCCUUAGGGAAAAGCUUUAGAACAAUAAAUGUGGGGCGUAGGGGGAGGAGGGCUGUUAAUUUUAGCCUGGGGUUCUCCAGCUGGCAUACUGUUUCCAUCUUGAAUCACUUCCACACCCUGAGCUGUGCCUGGGAGAUCCCUCCCUCCUCCUGGGGGCUUCCCCAUUCCCUGGUUUGGUCUGAGCCACAAUGGCAAGCAUUCCAGAAAAAUGCUAAGAGAAGCUUGGCUGAGUCAUUUGAUGCACAGCUCAGGAGGCAAAGAAAGGAUGGUGAUGAGACACUGGUUCCAGUGGUGCCUGUGAUGUGUGACCUCGAAGAACCUUCCAGUUCCCAAAAGAGCAGCAUGGCCAUUGUUUUGUUCUUGGUUAGUGACUCUGCUGCAGCUUUCUGAGGACCUCUCAAAGCCCCACAGUCUCUGUUUCAACUAGCAGGAGAGAAAAGUUAGGGUUUGCUCCCCAGGGCCUCAUGACUCUUCACGGCUAACAUGACAGUGCAGUAUCAUUUGGGAGAAUUUUUUUAGUACAGUUCAGAGUCUGGAACAGUCUCCUUCCUCCUCUGUCUUUCCUGCCAUCUGACUUUCCAUGGGGAAAGGAGGACAUUUAGGGAGAGGGAACAGGUGAGGAUUUCCAGUAUCUUGCUGGUGUAUUUUAAUUUAUUUAAAUUUAGAGAAACAGCAGCCUAAUCAGGCAGUAAUUAAUUCCCUCUUCAUUAGGGGCCUUCAUGUGUGCCUUUUGCAUAUGGAUGAGCCACGGGUCACACUGUCCCUUUGAAGAGAUCCUUGCUGAAGGUGAGAGCCCUGUGUGCUCUCUGGCACUUGAGCUCCUUCCCCUUCUGUGCCAAUGCUUCUCUUUUCUCCCCACCCUCACCUGACAAGGACUAGAUUCCUGUGGGGAAAGAAGGAAAGGUUAAUGAAGCUUCCUAUCCCACCCUCCUUGGAUCUGGAUCCCUCCCUCAUGGCCCACAGUGUAUACCAUCCAUGCCUCAUCCUGUACCCUCAGGUUUUAUCCAGCCCACUUCCUCCCAUCAGCCACCUGCUGGGAUAUCUUCAUGCCCCUAGUGAGUUGACGCCUCAGAAGCUUGUUUGCCUGGCACCUCUGCUUUGAGUUGGUUCAUCAAUCCUUGGCCCCACUCUGCUUCUUUCGUCUGUAGCAGUCCUUUUCUUAGGGAGUGUGACGCCCUGAAUGCACACACUGCUCUAGUCCUGAGAAAUACGCUGCCUCCUCCUGGCACUCACCAUUAUGUGCUGCACAGGCUCAGCCACACUUCCGUCAGCUCACAGUAAAGCUCCCAACACCUAAAGCACACAUCUACCAAUACACAGACAUUCCUAUCCUAGCUUGAAAGAUAAAUGCAUGGGGGCAUAUCCAGUCCAGGGCAGCCCAGGCCACCCUUUUGUACACUACAUCAUCCCUAUCCUCCCUAGGGCCACUGCAUUUCCAGGGAGCAAGUGGGGCACAGAUUGGGGGAGGGGGGAUAGAUGGGACCUGGGUGGUUACCAUAGCAAUAGAGCCUAGCAACAGCUGAGAGGCUGAUGUGUGGGUUUUCACAGGGCUGUUACAAGAACCAAACCUAGAAUUGGGGACUCAGAGGUGACUGAUCCCAGCUGGGCAGCCUGCAUUCCCUCCCCAAACACACCCCUUGAUCCCACCCCCACACCCCUGCAGUGCCUCUCUCCGAGAGGGCAGAGUAGGGAAAGCUAAUGAGUUAACCACAGGGCUUCUGAUUCUGCACAGCUUUUAGGGGGCAGCUGUGGGUGGGGGCAGGUUAGGGAGCAAAGCUGAAAAUAAACCAAGCAGUGCAGCUUCUUUCGGAUGGCUCCCUCUCAUCUUCUCCAUUGCUCCAUUUUUCUCUUCUUUCUUCCUUCUCCCUCCGUCUGUCUUAUCAGCUCUCUCUUCCGCCUUGAUCCACCUCCUAUCCUUCCAUGUAACUUUCCUUUUCUUCUGUCUCCUUCUUUUGGUCUCUCUUAACCCUCCCUGGCAAGGAAUAAGUGAGCCACGAUUUCUAUUCCAGUUUCUCUCUUGUACCACUGCUUCUCAUCAGGAUGGCUCCCUUCCAUUUUGUCCCAAGUUGAAGCCCCAGUUGGCCCCCAGCUCCAGGUCAGAGGAGGGCAGGUGACUUAGGUCUAGAGGGGGUCCCCACCUCAUCCUGUACCUCCUCCUAGCUGCCCACCCCCUCUCCUCCUCUCUACGGGGGUCAGAAGGCAGAACCAGGGGACUUGAGUAUCUUGCAAAGGCUUUAUUUGAAAAUUUUGAAACUUACAUCCCACAGUAAUUCAAGAUGAUCACCACAAGAAGAAGAAAGAGAUAAUACAAAAAUAUAUAUCACAGCAUAGGAGCCAGGGAAGAAGGGAAGGAGGAAGGUGGAAAAACCAGUGUGAAGGAGGGAAGAACCUGACGAGGGGAAAGGGCAGGGAAGCAAAAGGAAGGAGAGUAGAAGGAAGGAGGGAGGAAAGGAGGGGACAGGAGGGAGUCUGGGAAGGGAAGGGUAGAUUUGGAGGCAGAGCUGCUGGUGGCCUUGAACCAGCUGACUCUGGUCCCUGGCAGCCUAGGUGGAGUUAGGGAGGCUGGGAAGGGAGGACUGGCUCAGGGGGCUCUGAAGUCCAGAGAAUGGCACACACACAGACAGCCAGGACAGACGAGACAAAAGGGACUGUAGGAGAAAGGGAAGGGCAAAUGGGAGUCCCUUUCUCAUGUAGUGCAGCAGGCGACUCCCCAAAACCCAUCUGUCAGAAAACAGAUUUUAGCAGUGGGCUGGGGGUGAAGUCUGGGGCCUCACUACCCCCAUUCCCAAGGGGGAGCCCUCAGGGUGAUGCCGGCACCCUUGGAGUGGGAUGGGGAGACAGAGAAACAAAUGGUGUGGAAUGGGACGAGACCAUGACAGAUGAGGGCACAAGGAGCCCCCAGCUCACCUCCCACCCACCUCUGGAGCAGCAUGCAGGGGCUGCAGAAACGAGGUGAGUGGGUGUUCAUGAGGGAGAGAGUGAGCACGCCGCACGACACCACAACAUCAGGCCGGGAAACGCACAUGAGAGGUAAAGUGUGCAGCAAACACUGACCACUGAGUGAGCUGAGCACGGAAUGUGGGAAGGCGAGAGUGCAAAUGUGAGACGAGAGAGAACAUGAGUCAGCUGAGCGGAGCGGUGUGGACGGGGAGAGGGUGCAGGAGUGUGUGCAAAUGGCCUGUGAAGGUGGAGGUGAGUGUGCAAGGCUUUCAUGUGAGUGCACAAGGGUGGGGACAGGGACCCGAAGUCACAGAUAUGUGAGGCCCCCACCUGCAGGAGGGCGAGCAGAUAGGAUUGCCCGUGGGGCUGGGGAGUGUUCCGGGGUGGUGUGCAAGGGCAGGAGCCAGGAGCCCCUGUGGCCCCAGCUCCCCACAGCUGCCCCACCCUCAGUGGGAUGGGGGCUGUGCCGGCCCCUUGGCCUCCUGCUUGGCUGCACCCCAACAUUGGGGGGCAUCACAGAUUCACCAGGGGAAUCCUGAGAGGAAGAGGGAAAGGGCACAGUCAGGAACCAAGGGGUAGGCCAGAAUAGAAGGGGAAGUUCAAGACAAAGAGGGGGAAUCAAGGUUAAGAGGGCAGAGUUGUCUUAGACAAGGUGGCAUGAGAAAAAACCAAAGAGGGCAGAGUUGGAGUUAUGGGCAGCAGAGAAUAGGACACAGAUCCUGAGAGACUGGGAGAAGGAAGGGUGCCUCUCAGAGAGGAGCUGGUCCAGCCCCCUUGGGAGGGCCAGGGGCUGUGGGAGGCCAUGCCUGCCUCCUCACCACCCACCCAGAGGGCACCCCCACCCCAGCUCUGAAGACCUAAGUUGCCUUCCCUCUUUGCCCUCCCAUCCCAUUGCCCCUGCCCUCACCGGUUCAACUGGAAGGCUGGAGCCCCCUUGGGGUGGGGCAUCCCGGGCCGGGGUCCCCCUCGGGGCUCCUCAUGGUCAGGGGUGGGGGUAGGCGAGUCCCCGAAGGCCCCCAGCACAGUGACUCCGGCCGGGGACAGGUCUGUUAGUGGCUGCUGGCUCUCCUCCUGCCUCAGGGCACCUUGCUGCCCUGAGGGUCUGCGCCGCUUCUGGCUGCGGUCCCAGCUGGGAUACCAGAGGGAAAGAGGUUCUCUUGCACACUCAAGUAGGCCCCAUCCUGGGCCUGCACCAGUGGUCACCCCCAGCCUUGCCCAGUCACUCCCAACAUCUUACAGCAGAGAAACUGGCCUUAAACAGUUCCCUCUACUAAAUCCCCUGGGACUCUGUGCCCAUAAAACCACUUCCCCUGCCCUCUAGGGGUGCUUGGGAACCUAAACCUCCUUCCUGUCCAAACCUGAUCCAGAUCCACAGAAUUAAUAUCCCCUGAUCCAGAUCCACAGAAUUAAUAUCCCCUCCCCACCAACCACAGUGUCCUCUCCCCUGCACGCCCAGAAGAGUCAUUUCUGUCUUUGGCAGACAACUGGCAGGUUUAGCUCUAGUUCAAAGCAAGCUGAUGACUUGGACACCUGACUCUAAUGAUUCUCUCAGUAAAGUGUGAAGGACUGAGUGAUCCAUUAUUAAAUGUGUGCAAAGAAAGCUCCGGAUUUUCUUGCUCCCCCCAGGCAACCCUAAGAAGGGCUCUGCAGACUGGGUCAGCUUUCUCUGUCUUGGAGGAAGUAAGGGCAAGGGAGGCCCACGAAAGCCCCCAAUGCAAAGGAAUAAUUCCCCUGCCCUCCUUUAUCCUUGUAUUUCCCUGGGAGACAGAAUGUGCCCUGAUUUCUCACUGUCUUCCCCCAGCCAAAUCCUUAAUGAUCUUUUCCCAAGGUCUUGCCUUCAUCCAGCAUUUCCCACCCACCCCCAGCAAAAUUGCUGCCACUGCCCCUCGUGGCUAGAGCCUCGACUGCCAAACAUUCCUUCCCCAUCCACCAGCACCCUCCUCCUCCCAGCUUACCAGAACUUGAAGAUGAUGCCAGUGGCCACGAGAACAAUGAUGAUGGAGAUGGUAAUUGUGACAUAGAGCUGGGGGUCCACACCUGAUUGGGGUGGGAAGAAAGUUUUAGGGAGCCCCGAGGUGGUAGGAGCCAAGAGGGGCUGGGGGCUCGGCUGUGGGCUCUGUCGGCUGGAGUGGCAUUGCUGUGUGGAUCCACACUGCCGACUCUGUCUGCCCCUCUGGAGCCUCACUAUUGUUAUCACCAGCAUUCCCCUGAGUUUUCAGCUCUUUUCCUCCACUUUCCCAAAUGUAUUUCACCAAAUCUUAUGUGUAUAUGUGAUGAGGAUGAGGCCCCAUGAUCAGAGAGAACCUAUCACUGUGCCUAGAAACGAAGGGGUGGAGAUGUCCUAGUCUCUGCCAUGGCCCAACUCCCAAACCACAGGCCCUGUUCCUCCAUCAGCACUCCCUGAGCCAAGACGUCUCCCGGGUAGUGCCCUUCAUCCACGGCAUUCUCUGCCCGGAAUACUCCCACUCUCUUUUCAAGGGCCAGCUCAAAUGUCAGUUCUCUGAAGGUGUCCUGACCCCCAAGCAGGAGGAGACUCUCACUUCUCUUUUUUCGUAAAUCACGCUGCACAUGCCUCUAUUAAAGCAUUUAUUACGAUGA
Molecule: long non-coding RNA, 6861 nt
Organism: Symphalangus syndactylus (siamang)
Lineage: Eukaryota; Metazoa; Chordata; Mammalia; Primates; Hylobatidae
Source: RefSeq, a predicted model, not a curated record